GUGGGGAAUAUUGGACAAUGGGGGGAACCCUGAUCCAGCCAUGCCGCGUGUGUGAAGAAGGCCUUUUGGUUGUAAAGCACUUUAAGCGAGGAGGAGGCUACCGAGAUUAAUACUCUUGGAUAGUGGACGUUACUCGCAGAAUAAGCAUCGGCUAACUCUGUGCCAGCAGCCGCGGUAAUACAGAGGGUGCAAGCGUUAAUCGGAUUUACUGGGCGUAAAGCGCGCGUAGGUGGCCAAUUAAGUCAAAUGUGAAAUCCCCGAGCUUAACUUGGGAAUUGCAUUCGAUACUGGUUGGCUAGAGUAUGGGAGAGGAUGGUAGAAUUCCAGGUGUAGCGGUGAAAUGCGUAGAGAUCUGGAGGAAUACCGAUGGCGAAGGCAGCCAUCUGGCCUAAUACUGACACUGAGGUGCGAAAGCAUGGGGAGCAAACAGGAUUAGAAACCCUAGUAGUCC
This 451-nucleotide ribosomal RNA is filed under the name uncultured bacterium. Its description in RNAcentral is "partial 16S ribosomal RNA". It matches the Rfam family "Bacterial small subunit ribosomal RNA", at positions 354 to 796 of the family's 1533-position model. The record is from RNAcentral.